UUGCACAAGACCGGCAAGCGAAUGGAUGCUUGCAUACAAAUUCAUUUGCCGGUCGUAAGAACAUGGAGCACUAAGUGCGGAAUGUUCGUGUGCGAAAUCGAGUAGGAGUCAGCCUACUCGAUUGUGUGG
RNAcentral lists this unclassified non-coding RNA (129 nucleotides) under Butyrivibrio sp. INlla18. Its description in RNAcentral is "Clostridiales-1 RNA". The record is from RNAcentral. Lineage: Bacteria; Bacillati; Bacillota; Clostridia; Lachnospirales; Lachnospiraceae.